Molecule: non-coding RNA, 194 nt
Filed under: Mesobacillus selenatarsenatis
Lineage: Bacteria; Bacillati; Bacillota; Bacilli; Caryophanales; Bacillaceae
Also listed under: 1 other name
Source: RNAcentral
UUAAUACACAAAGAAUCUGGUGUCUUAUAGACGGAGUUGUCGUUUAUAGACUUAAUAGGGAAGUUGGUGAAAAUCCAACGCGGUCCCGCCACUGUAAAUGGGAGCUUCAAGCCAAUGCCACUGUACUUAGUAUGGGAAGGCGCUUGAAAGCGAUGACCAUGAGCCAGGAGACCUGCCUGAUUCUUAGCGCCACA